This 51-nucleotide non-coding RNA is filed under the name Schistosoma mansoni. The record is from RNAcentral. Lineage: Eukaryota; Metazoa; Platyhelminthes; Trematoda; Strigeidida; Schistosomatidae.
AUCCAACUGACGAGUCUUAAAUAGAACGAAGUGACGUAUGUCAAACUGGAU